This 467-nucleotide ribosomal RNA is filed under the name uncultured bacterium. Its description in RNAcentral is "bacterial SSU rRNA". It matches the Rfam family "Bacterial small subunit ribosomal RNA", at positions 329 to 793 of the family's 1533-position model. The record is from RNAcentral.
GACCAGACUCCUACGGGAGGCAGCAGUGAGGAAUAUUGGUCAAUGGCCGAGAGGCUGAACCAGCCAAGUCGCGUGAGGGAAGAAUGUCCUAUGGAUUGUAAACCUCUUUUGUCAGGGAGCAAAGUCACCCACGUGUGGGUGUUGGAGAGUACCUGAAGAAAAAGCAUCGGCUAACUACGUGCCAGCAGCCGCGGUAAUACGUAGGUGGCAAGCGUUGUCCGGAUUUACUGGGUGUAAAGGGCGUGCAGCCGGAGAGACAAGUCAGAUGUGAAAUCCACGGGCUCAACCCGUGAACUGCAUUUGAAACUGUUUCCCUUGAGUGUCGGAGAGGUAAUCGGAAUUCCUUGUGUAGCGGUGAAAUGCGUAGAUAUAAGGAAGAACACCAGUGGCGAAGGCGGCUUACUGGACUGUAACUGACGUUGAGGCUCGAAAGCGUGGGGAGCAAACAGGAUUAGAUACCCGAGUAU